GCCUGGAUAGCUCAAUUGGUUAGAGCGUGGUGCUGAUAAUGCCAAGGUUGCAGGUUCGAUCCCUGUGUGGGAUA
RNAcentral lists this transfer RNA (74 nucleotides) under Podarcis lilfordi (Lilford's wall lizard). RNAcentral's name for it is "tRNA.Ile". The stretch from base 8 to 66 matches the Rfam family "tRNA", at positions 8 to 63 of the family's 71-position model. From Rfam's summary of the family: Transfer RNA (tRNA) molecules are approximately 80 nucleotides in length. Their secondary structure includes four short double-helical elements and three loops (D, anti-codon, and T loops). The record is from RNAcentral. Lineage: Eukaryota; Metazoa; Chordata; Lepidosauria; Squamata; Lacertidae.